Molecule: ribosomal RNA, 253 nt
Filed under: uncultured bacterium
Lineage: Bacteria
Description: partial 16S ribosomal RNA
Rfam family: Bacterial small subunit ribosomal RNA
Source: RNAcentral
UACGUAGGGUGCGAGCGUUAAUCGGAAUUACUGGGCGUAAAGCGUGCGCAGGCGGUUUGUUAAGACAGAUGUGAAAUCCCCGGGCUUAACCUGGGAACUGCAUUUGUGACUGGCAAGCUAGAGUAUGGCAGGGGGGGGUAGAAUUCCACGUGUAGCAGUGAAAUGCGUAGAGAUGUGGAGGAAUACCGAUGGCGAAGGCAGCCCCCUGGGCCAAUACUGACGCUCAUGCACGAAAGCGUGGGGAGCAAACAGG